This 587-nucleotide ribosomal RNA is filed under the name uncultured Gammaproteobacteria bacterium. RNAcentral's name for it is "bacterial SSU rRNA". It matches the Rfam family "Bacterial small subunit ribosomal RNA", at positions 192 to 776 of the family's 1533-position model. The record is from RNAcentral. Lineage: Bacteria; Pseudomonadati; Pseudomonadota; Gammaproteobacteria.
CCGGGGACCUUCGGGCCUGGCGCGAUUGGAUGAGCCCAUGUUCGAUUAGCUAGUUGGCGGGGUAAAGGCCCACCAAGGCGACGAUCGAUAGCUGGUCUGAGAGGAUGAUCAGCCACACUGGGACUGAGACACGGCCCAGACUCCUACGGGAGGCAGCAGUAGGGAAUAUUGGACAAUGGGCGCAAGCCUGAUCAGCCAUGCCGCGUGAGUGAAGAAGGCCCUCGGGUUGUAAAGCUCUUUUGUUGGGGAAGAAAAGCAGUCGGUUAAUACCUGAUUGUUCUGACGGUACCCAAAGAAUAAGCACCGGCUAACUUCGUGCCAGCAGCCGCGGUAAUACGAAGGGUGCAAGCGUUACUCGGAAUUACUGGGCGUAAAGCGUGCGUAGGUGGUUUGUUAAGUCUGAUGUGAAAGCCCUGGGCUCAACCUGGGAAUGGCACUGGAUACUGGCAAGCUAGAGUGUGGCAGAGGGUAGUGGAAUUCCUGGUGUAGCAGUGAAAUGCGUAGAGAUCAGGAGGAACAUCCGUGGCGAAGGCGACUGCCUGGGCCAACACUGACACUGAGGCACGAAAGCGUGGGGAGCAAACAGG